Molecule: transfer RNA, 71 nt
Filed under: Crassvirales sp.
Lineage: Duplodnaviria; Heunggongvirae; Uroviricota; Caudoviricetes; Crassvirales
Description: tRNA-Arg
Rfam family: tRNA
About the family: Transfer RNA (tRNA) molecules are approximately 80 nucleotides in length. Their secondary structure includes four short double-helical elements and three loops (D, anti-codon, and T loops).
Source: RNAcentral
GCCUUUGUAGUGUAAUGGAUGCACGCAUCUCUCCUAAAGAUGAAGCUAGAGUUCGACUCUCUACAGAGGUA